GUAUGACUCUUGGCAAUGGAUAUCUCGGCUCUUGCAUCGAUGAACAACGUAGCAAAAUGUGAUACCUAGUGUGAAUUACAGUAUCCUGCAAACCAUCGAGUCUUUGAAUGCAAGUUGCACCCGAGGCCGCCAGGCCGAGGGCAUGCCUGCCUAGGCUUCACACCAAGCAAUGCU
This 174-nucleotide ribosomal RNA is filed under the name Sabal minor (dwarf palmetto). RNAcentral describes it as "5.8S ribosomal RNA". The stretch from base 5 to 160 matches the Rfam family "5.8S ribosomal RNA". From Rfam's summary of the family: 5.8S ribosomal RNA (5.8S rRNA) is a component of the large subunit of the eukaryotic ribosome. It is transcribed by RNA polymerase I as part of the 45S precursor that also contains 18S and 28S rRNA. Lineage: Eukaryota; Viridiplantae; Streptophyta; Magnoliopsida; Arecales; Arecaceae. The record is from RNAcentral.